CACUUGAGCCACUUCCAUGACUUCUGACUUCUUCCUUUGACUUCUGACUUUCUGCCUGGGCUGGAUUUGAAGAGCUCUCAAAUCUCAGCCUCCUGAGCUGCGAAGAUGACAAGCAUCACCCACCAUUGCCUGGCUGCCUAAAAAUUUCUCAAUGGAAACUUCCGCAAACUUCAGGAUACCUUGGGAUAAAUUUACUAGCUGUGUUCCACUGACACAUCAGAACUCCUUAGAGUUUUAAAGGAGAACACACUAAAGAAUGAUACAGACGUUUUGAGAAUAUCUGCUGGAAACUCAUAGCAGUUUUCUCUGUUUUUGAAAUGCAGCCAGCUACCAUGGAACAAGAAGUUAAACCUCUCAGAGAUCACCACAUUUUGAUGGAGCCCAGGCUAGCUCUGGUGAAACAAGUUAUAACCAAAAUCAAUAAGGGAAAAUAAAAUUCCAGCCAUAUGUGCUCAGUGAAGCUGCCCCAGUCACGGUGACCCCAGUGGUUUGAGUCAUACCAGAUGACAUUUUGAAUAAAUGAAAGACCAUUC
Dipodomys spectabilis (banner-tailed kangaroo rat) is the source of this 533-nucleotide long non-coding RNA. RefSeq lists it as uncharacterized. The record is from RefSeq and is a predicted model, not a curated record. Lineage: Eukaryota; Metazoa; Chordata; Mammalia; Rodentia; Heteromyidae. The transcript has 3 exons.